UGCGAGGUAGAGCAGUCGCUUGGCUCGUUAGGCUCAUAACCUAAAGGUCGCGGGUUCAAGUCCCGCCUUCGCAA
This 74-nucleotide transfer RNA is filed under the name Bacteroidota bacterium. RNAcentral's name for it is "Bacteroidetes bacterium (activated sludge metagenome) tRNA-Met". It matches the Rfam family "tRNA". Rfam says of the family: Transfer RNA (tRNA) molecules are approximately 80 nucleotides in length. Lineage: Bacteria; Pseudomonadati; Bacteroidota. The record is from RNAcentral.